Molecule: ribosomal RNA, 253 nt
Filed under: uncultured bacterium
Lineage: Bacteria
Description: partial 16S ribosomal RNA
Rfam family: Bacterial small subunit ribosomal RNA
Source: RNAcentral
UACAGAGGGGGCAAGCGUUGUUCGGAAUUACUGGGCGUAAAGGGCGCGUAGGCGGCCUUCUAAGUCGAACGUGAAAUCCCCGGGCUCAACCCGGGAACUGCGUCCGAUACUGGAAGGCUUGAAUCCGGGAGAGGGAUGCGGAAUUCCAGGUGUAGCGGUGAAAUGCGUAGAUAUCGGGAGGAACACCAGUGGCGAAGGCGGCGAUCUGGGUCGAUACUGACGCUGAGGUGCGAAAGCGUGGGGAGCAAACAGG